Molecule: long non-coding RNA, 242 nt
Filed under: Sorghum bicolor (sorghum)
Lineage: Eukaryota; Viridiplantae; Streptophyta; Magnoliopsida; Poales; Poaceae
Description: long non-coding RNA (SBIC_LNC006395)
Source: RNAcentral
GUACCUUGCGCCGACGCCGCCCUGAGGAGGACCGCCCCAGCUAGCGCUCCCUCUAGGUGGUGGCGCUGAGCGUCGACACCGUCGCCGCUGACGGUGCCGCACUACCCUUGGCCCCUGUUACAGCGCCUCUCUUCCUCGUGAACUCUCUUCCACGGUACCGGCCAACUCUCCUCUCUCCUCCCCCGCUCUUCUUGAUGGGAUCCGUCUCGCCUCAUAUUCUGUUGCAUUCUUGAUGUUCUAGG